Molecule: non-coding RNA, 83 nt
Organism: Thoreauomyces humboldtii
Lineage: Eukaryota; Fungi; Chytridiomycota; Chytridiomycetes; Spizellomycetales; Powellomycetaceae
Source: the annotation of a GenBank genome assembly
GACACCAUGGCCGAGUGGUCUAAGGCGUUGGACUUGAAAUCCAAUGGGCUAUGCCCGCGCAGGUUCAAAUCCUGCUGGUGUCG